UCUUCUGUAUUUCUUGUCUGUUCCUUUCCUAUUUUCUAGGGUUUUUGCUUAUUAUUUUCUUAGAUCUACUUCGAUUCUCGCAAUUUCUUCCAUUAAUAAUUGUAUAAUCGUAUAGAUCGGUCUCCGAUUACUGUUUGACACCAAUUUUCAUGAUUUUCGAAGUAUUCUCUCGCCGGCGACCUUCAUGCUUCCAUUUCCAGUUGAAUAAUCGUAUAGAUCGGUCUCCGAUCUACCGGUUGACACCAAUUUUUAUGAUUUCGGUGGAUUAUUUCGCCGGAUAUCUUCACGCUCAUCGGAAUCGAGGAUUCCGGAUCGCCAUAUCAUGUGGAUGAGCUGGUGAAAUGCACCGAUCUAUUACUCGGCGUCUCAGGCACGUCUGUUUGUGCCGGUGUGGCUUAUUGCUCCUAUUUAUCGAUUAUCUGGCGUCUAGUAGCUGCGAUGAGUGUUGUGUAAGACGUUGAUGUGCUUCAGAACUCAAUUAAUCGAUAGACGAGAUAUUUCUGGACAAAUUAGGUUCUGAGAUCGAUGAAGGCUAUCGAUUUGCUGGUGAGGAUGUUCCGAUCUAUGACUAUGGAGUCGCUUUUGAAUUUUUACCAAAUAGUUUAGAUGAUCGGCUUUAAGUGAUUGAUGUUAUUGUUUAUCGUGUUGUAUUCAAAAUAGGCGUCUAAGAUGAUCCUGUGCUUCAGAAUUAAAUUACCUCCGGACAAAUUAGGUUAUCACAGUGAUGCUAUUUUGUAGAAGUGAACUGCAGUUCUGAUGAAACUCUGAAAGCAGGCGAGAGGUGAGAGUUUAAUUGUAUGAUUUACAUAUGUUGAAAUUUAUCUUGUGAGUCGGCCUUUGCCAUGUCAGGUGCGCUUGCUUGGCAGGCCAAUAAUAAGUCUAAUGAAAGUAAUUAUUUUUGGUCUGGUGAAGGGAGAUGGUACGGGGUGUUUGCCCGGCUCUCCCUUCAUGUCUGUCUCGUUUCUUUUUUGCUUUUUCAUUUCUAUAAACUUGCACGUAUGCACGUAUACAAUAUAAACUAUUCGAAACGCUUGCGACCAAUUUAGUCUCAAGCAUUUCGAACGAUGUUUUCAAUAAAUCAACAUACCACUGUAGCGGCAGCCACACGUAUUAGAUCAACAUAGCAGCAUGGAGUUUCAACACGACAGUAAUAAGUAGUAAGGCUUCUUUAUUAUCUGAUUAUCUCCCACGUGAAUAUCUAUUGUUUCGUCACAAACUUGUGUGGUUGACAACUUGACAUAACAAAAGCACCAAUAUGAUCUCUGUUUAUUUGUGAUUUUUGACAUAACAAAAGCACCAAUAUGAUCUCUGUUUAUUUAUGAUUUGAUUUGAAUUAUCACAUAUAUCUGUUCUAAAGUCAAAUGUGCAUUACCGCACUAUGAAAAUCUGCUCACGCAUGCAAAAUUCUGAAAAUUGUGUUAUUUUCUAUUUGUUAGUGUAUUGUAAUGUUGUUUUUGUAAUUUCUCUUUAGUUGAGCUCAAGGACAUUUUUUGUGUAAUUUCUUUAUCUUAGAUGUAUUUCAGUCGUAUGUAAGAUGUAGCUCGCAGAAAACUAGGGAGAUGGAGAUUUCUUACAACUUUUAUUAGCUUCAAUUGAUUGUAUAUGCUAAUGUGGAAACUGAAGCUCUGAUUCACAAGUAGGGGGUGUAGCCUUUGGAACAGUUCAAUUUCGUUGCUAACAAACGACAUCAAGCUAUCAACAACAAGUAUAGGUAUAUUCUGAUCUAAUUGUUAUUUUGUUAUUGAUGUUUUCAAUAACGAGGCUUUGUGCCGUUCAUCUUUAUAUGUCAAGAUAUGCUAUAUUUGAGUCUUGCUUGAUUUUUUGCGUGAGAUUGCCUGAAAUGCAAGUUUAUGAUUAAUUUU
Molecule: long non-coding RNA, 1862 nt
Organism: Helianthus annuus (common sunflower)
Lineage: Eukaryota; Viridiplantae; Streptophyta; Magnoliopsida; Asterales; Asteraceae
Exons: 3
Source: RefSeq, a predicted model, not a curated record